This 253-nucleotide ribosomal RNA is filed under the name uncultured bacterium. RNAcentral's name for it is "partial 16S ribosomal RNA". It matches the Rfam family "Bacterial small subunit ribosomal RNA", at positions 524 to 776 of the family's 1533-position model. The record is from RNAcentral.
UACGUAGGGUGCAAGCGUUAAUCGGAAUUACUGGGCGUAAAGCGUGCGCAGGCGGUUAUGUAAGACAGAUGUGAAAUGCCCGGGCUUAACCUGGGAACUGCAUUUGUGACUGCAUGGCUAGAGUUUGGCAGAGGGGGGUAGAAUUCCACGUGUAGCAGUGAAAUGCGUAGAUAUGUGGAGGAACACCAGUGGCGAAGGCGGCUCACUGGACCGGAACUGACGCUGAGGCGCGAAAGCGUGGGGAGCAAACGGG